RNAcentral lists this ribosomal RNA (476 nucleotides) under uncultured bacterium. Its description in RNAcentral is "bacterial SSU rRNA". It matches the Rfam family "Bacterial small subunit ribosomal RNA", at positions 28 to 507 of the family's 1533-position model. The record is from RNAcentral.
GAUGAACGCUAGCGGCAGGCUUAACACAUGCAAGUCGAGGGGCAGCAUGAGACGGAGAUUCGUCGAAGUCUUGAUGGCGACCGGCGCAAGGGUGCGUAACGCGUGAGCAACUUGCCCGUUUCUGGGGAAUAACCGGUGGAAACGCCGACUAAUACCCCAUAGUAUUGGCUUUAGGCAUCUUUAGUCAAUUAAAGAAUUUCGGAUAAGGAUAGGCUCGCGUGACAUUAGCUAGACGGCGGGGUAACGGCCCACCGUGGCUACGAUGUCUAGGGGUUCUGAGAGGAAGGUCCCCCACACUGGAACUGAGAUACGGUCCAGACUCCUACGGGAGGCAGCAGUUAGGAAUAUUGGGCAAUGGAGGAAACUCUGACCCAGCAACGCCGCGUGAAGGACGAAGGUCUUUGGAUUGUAAACUUCUUUUCUGUGGGAAAAAACAAAUGAUGGUACCACUGGAAUAAGACACGGCUAACUACGUG